GUUAGGUCGGCCCAAAUUAAGUAAGACAGUCGACUCGGCGACGGCGGUCGGCAGUCUCCCCUCUCUGCUCGCCAGCCAGUCGCCGCCUCCGGCCUCGUUGCCACCCACCCGCUCCGGCCGCACCCCUGCGCACCUCACCAGCGUUGCCUCCCGAUUGGGUUCGGGCAAGCCAGUUUCCGCUCGCCACCUCCGAUCUCGUCGCCGUCCAUCCGUUCCGGCCGCACGCCUGCGCACCUCACCAGCGUUCGCCUCCGUGAUCGAUGGCGCCACCAGCGACGGGAAAGAUGCCGCUGCAAGAUCCUCCACACUCUCUCUCCCCUGAUGUGAAUCCCCAUAUUAUCCCAUGAAUUUCAGCCUCAACUCUCUAAUCCCCCUGUGUGUGUGUUCUUUUUGGCUUGCAGGUCAAACCCUAUUGGGGAUGUGAUUCCCCCGCUCCAGAUUGAAGUGGUCGGCGUUGGUGGCCGCCGUGAUGCUGGAUGGUGCAGGUCAGACCUCCAGUGCGUGGCCAUGGAGCAGAUCGAACAUAUGUGCAGGUAGAGAGAUGAAGACAGUGGGGGGAAGACAAGCUGCUGGUUUGGCUAUUUGGGGAAGAAUGGAGACGUGUGAAGUCUUUGCAAUGGCUUGCUCUGCUCUCUCUUCUUUUGAUAUCAGAAAACCAUCUUCCUUGGCUGACAAAGUGUGACGCCUCAGUGAUGCCGCCAAAGGUGUCCGUCGCCGCCUCAAACGAUGGCGCGCUGCCUGAAGACAUGUUGCGUCACAUCCUCGUGUGCCUCCCCACGAAGGCGGUGUGCCUCUUCCGAGCGGUUUGCCAAUCCUGGAGGUCCCUCCUCUCGGAUCCGCUCUUCGUUGCAGCCCACAAGUCCUGUCACCCUGGUCCACUAAUCGUCACAUGUAACUGUGAGAUGUUUGAAAGAGGCACCAUUAACUUAUUGGACUUGUCUGGCCAUGUCGUUAAGCGGAUAGCCACCACCAUGAAGGAUGCCAGGAUGGUGCGCACACGCCGCCUGGACCUUAUUUGUGUCACCGGACGUAAGGGCUGCCAUGUGAUCAACCCUGCCACGGGUGAUACCUUUGCAUUGCCCAGUCGCCGCGCAAAGGAGCAUGCACAUGUGCAACAUUUCUUCCCACAAUCGUUUGACUUUGGACAGGUUGUCUCCACGGGAGAAUACAAGGCCCUACGCUGUGUUAGCAUAGAUAAUUCCGAUCAUGAGUCCAGCCCGAUGCUCUGUGAGGUCAUCACCCUUGAUGAUGGUCGCCAUGCAAGAUGGAGGGGAAAACAGGGCCCUCCGGCCCCUGUCACAAGUAACCAUAACAGAAGUAUUGUUGUCAAUGGAGUAGUUUAUUUCUUGUUGGAUUUUCUAUACAAACGUUUCACAUUUUCUGGGGCCCGUGUGAAACCGGGUAGCAUGGCUUUGUUCAACCUUGAGACAGAGGAGUGGAUGGGGAUUGUCCAAGGUCCAACUCCAGUGCGCAGCUUUGUUAAGGACAGCAGUGGCAGGUGCGGUUACUUUAGUCUAUACUCGGAUCUAUCACUGGCAAAUUUGGAUGGGUUCCUAGUCAUGGCACACAAUCCUGAAGGUUGCUCUUUGGACUUAUGGUUUUUGAUGGAUAUUGAGAAAUGUCUCUGGAAUAAAAGGUACAGCUUGGAUUUCCAGCCUGAAAAUCUCUUUGCUCAACCCUUGGAAAUUCUAAAUGACGGGAAGAUAAUCCUGUCUGCAUCAGGAUCACUAAGACUAUAUAACCCAAUUACCAAGACUUACAUUGAUUUUGGGAUGAGAAAUUCCACAUCAGUUGGUACUUACACUGGAAGUCUGUUGUCUUCAGAGAGCACCUUCACUUCUGAGGCUGAACGUUGCACUACCUGUGGCUGCUAUUUCACCCUCGAAGCCGGCCAACAUGAUGUAACCUGUCAAGAUUGUAUGUAUGAAGCCAUGUUUGCACGACGGUGACCUUCCCGGGCAUCUUUUCACUAACGGCCCGUAUUGGCUUUAUGUGUAUGUGAACGGCGCUGCACACCAUUUUUGCAUUUGGAGGGCUGCCGGCGUAACUGGACAUCCAUUAGGCUUUCACCAAUUACCAAUGCCAAUAGACAAUUUCAAUGUCAAUAUGGCCUAGGGCCUGACAUGUGGGCCUGAAACUAGUGGCACCACCUAGGGGCCUGACAUGUGGGCCCAAUCGUGAGAAGGGGUAGAUUGGUGGAUUUUGGCUCAACAGUGUUGACAAUUGUUUAAACCAGCUCCACUCCCACUCCACCCACUCCCUCCAGCUCCAGCCAUGGCAUCGCGGACCACCAGCCCCUGCCUGAUCUUCCUCCUGGCGCUCCUUCUCCCCCUCGCCGCGGUCGCCGUGCCGCGCAGACACCGCUUUCCGUCGCUCCAGCUCGCCCCGGUCAACGCCUCGGAGCCACCCACCACUUUCUUCGAGGUGGACCGCCCGAUCCAGCCGCCGCGCGGCAGCGUCGGGCCCUGCUCCGCUCUGCUCCUCUCCGACUCCUUCGGCUACACCUACGGCCGUCCUCCGGCCACCGCCGCCUACGUGCCGCCCGAGUGCCUCGCCGCCGCGCGCGCCCGGGGCGGGUCGCUCGCGCUCGCGGUGCUCGAGUGGAGCGCCGACUGCCGCGGCCGCCAGUUCGACCGCAUCUUCGGCGUCUGGCUCUCCGGCGCCGAGCUCCUCCGCAGCUGCACCGCCGAGCCGCGCCCCGACGGCAUCCUCUGGUCGGUCUCCCGCGACGUCACGAGGUACGCCGCCCUUCUCUCCGAGCCUGGCGAGGUCGCGGUGUACCUUGGCAACAUCGUCGACAGCACGUACACCGGCGUCUACCACGCCAACCUCACCCUCCAUCUUUACUUCCACUCCACAACGCCGUCACCGCCGCCGCUGCCGCACGCCGAUUUGAUCCUGCCCAUCUCGAGGAGCCUACCUCUGAACGACGGGCAGUGGUUCGCCAUCCAGAAUUCCGCCGAUGUGCAGUCGAGGAAGCUCGCCAUUCCGUCGAACACCUACAGGGCGGUCCUUGAGGUGUUCGUUUCGUUCCACUCCAGUGAUGAGUUCUGGUACACCAACCCUCCCAACGAGUACAUUGAGGCCAACAAUUUGUCCAGCGUCCCUGGCAAUGGUGCGUUUCGGGAGGUUAUUGUUAAAGUCGAUGACAAUGUGGUCGGUGCUGUUUGGCCGUUCACUGUUAUCUACACCGGCGGUGUCAACCCGCUUCUCUGGCGGCCAAUCACCGGCAUUGGCUCAUUCAACCUACCUACCUAUGACAUUGAUAUCACGCCUUUCUUGGGCAAGCUCAUGGAUGGCAAGGAGCACAAUUUUGGGUUUGCUGUGACCAAUGCAUUGGAUAUGUGGUACAUUGAUGCCAAUUUACAUCUGUGGUUGGAUCACAAGAGCAAGAAGACAGUUGGGAGCUUGAUCAGCUAUGAUGCAGCGUCGUCGGCAAAUGUGGACUCGCAGUUCAGCGGGCUGGACGGGCGGUUCGUGACGAGCGCAAGCCGGCAUGUCUCCGCCACCGGGUGGGUGGAAUCGUCGCACGGAAAGGUCAUGACAACUUUCUACCAGAGAUUCAACUACAAAAACAGCAAUGUGUAUAGCAAGAACGGCAGUGAGCAAGUGGUGAACCAAACGAUCGAUGCCAAGUCAGGUGUUUCCACCACAAACGGCGCCGUGCUGCUCUCGGAAGAAGUUCACCAGGUCUUCCCACUCUAUCUUUUCUCUGGGACCUCAGAUGAAGUGGGUGAUGAGUACUCGCUGGUUUCAGCUAUCAAAUUGAGCAUCAAUGAGAAGAGGGGCUCUGGUGCGGAGCAAGGCUUCUCCUACAGCUCUCUGCGGAAUGCGCAGUCGGCACGCGGUAGUAUGAGGGUGAAGGGGAAUUUGGUGACUUCUGGGUCUGGUGAGAACCAUCAGGUGUAUAAAUAUGUGGGUACCGAUGGAUGCUACUCCAGAGAUGUGAGCAGCAAGAACUACACUAUCGUUUUCGACCACUCUGAUGACUCGUGCUUAAAGGGAUCACAAGUUAAAGGCUCCAGAUUCCCCUCCAGUUAGUUUAGACGAUCCGUUGAUCGAACUGUACUGCAAGUUAGAGAAUAAGAUUUGCAUAGUUUAUCCUGUGCCUCGUGUGGUAGGUAGAAAUCUUGGAAAAUUCAAUUUAAACUCACUGUUUUCGAAUGUAUCAGUGACACUUUUAAUUUGGUUUGAAAUGAUUCUGCUCCGCACAGGUUAUGAUUAUCAUUGACACUUUUAGUACUUAAUAUAAUCAAGCUUCUGUCAUUAUUACUGAUUACAUUAUUUUCUGCAUGUUCACAAGCAUCUGAUUGGAUCUCGUUUUGGCGUUGCUGCGUCUGUUCCAAUCUCCAACUCAAUCGCUCAUCGCUGGAGAAUGGAGAUCGAUUUACUGUCACAAAAAAGAAGCCCUAGCCCCUCGAAAAGAUCUCUUGAGUGACACCGGGAAGAAGAAAGCGUGCUCACAAGAUGGGUGUUGCAAUAUGCAGUGCUGGAGAUGUUCUUCCAGUUCAUUCAUAAAAAAGAUGUUCAUAUCUCCUGAGCAGUGGUGCAACGCUAUGGGUGGAGGCGGAGGCAACUAAUUGCUCACAUUGGAAAACGAAGUGCUACUGCUCCAUUGAUGUAGUGGUUUUCCAGCUAGCUUCUUUCUUUCUGAGCCUUUCAAGUUCCUUUUGUACAGAACGAAACUUCUGUUUGCCGCACGUUCUUCGCUGAUCUCACUUAUUUUUUUGGUCACUGAGCUCACUGUUGUCUUCAGCAAUUGAAGCUUCCGCUGGAGAUUUGGCGGCUUUGUCAGUCGAAAUUCCAGGCAGCACCAACUCAUGCAGCGAAGGAUGGUUAUUUUUUCCCACACCAACUCGUAGCCCCCUCUCCUUGGAUUAUGUUCUUCUGACUCUUGACUGCUAGGAUUAAGUUUGUUUUUUAGGGAAACAGCAGGCCUCUGCUGCGUAUUUUCAUUGAUUUUUUUUAAGUACAAAGAGUCUAUACGGAAAAAGGAAAGAAGUAUCUAUACAGCAGCAGGACUAACAUCCUGCAAAAAAGGCCCUAGAAAAAAGCAAGAGGAAAAGAUACACACAACAUGUACAGGUUAACUACAGAAAGUCAUCUGAAUGCAUCGACCCAAUCCUGG
RNAcentral lists this ribosomal RNA (5128 nucleotides) under Triticum aestivum (bread wheat). RNAcentral describes it as "partial small subunit ribosomal RNA". The record is from RNAcentral. Lineage: Eukaryota; Viridiplantae; Streptophyta; Magnoliopsida; Poales; Poaceae.